RNAcentral lists this ribosomal RNA (301 nucleotides) under uncultured bacterium. RNAcentral's name for it is "partial 16S ribosomal RNA". It matches the Rfam family "Bacterial small subunit ribosomal RNA", at positions 509 to 808 of the family's 1533-position model. The record is from RNAcentral.
CAGCAGCCCGGUAAUACGUAGGUGGCAAACGUAGUCCGGAAUUAUUGGGCGUAAAGGGCUCGCAGGCGGUUUCUUAAGUCUGAUGUGAAAGCCCCCGGCUCAACCGGGGAGGGUCAUUGGAAACUGGGAAACUUGAGUGCAGAAGAGGAGAGUGGAAUUCCACGUGUAGCGGUGAAGUGCGUAGAGAUGUGGAGGAACACCAGUGGCGAAGGCGACUCUCUGGUCUGUAACUGACGCUGAGGAGCGAAAGCGUGGGGAGCGAGCAGGAUUAGAUACCCCCGUAGUCCCUGUCUCUUAUACC